AACGCUGGCGGUAUGCUUAACACAUGCAAGUCGAACGGAAGUCUUCGGACUUUAGUGGCGGACGGGUGAGUAACGCGUGAGAAUCUGGCUUUAGGUCGGGGACAACAGUUGGAAACGACUGCUAAUACCGGAUAUGCCGAGAGGUGAAAGAUUAAUUGCCUGAAGAAGAGCUCGCGUCUGAUUAGCUAGUUGGUGGGGUAAGAGCUUACCAAGGCGACGAUCAGUAGCUGGUCUGAGAGGACGAUCAGCCACACUGGGACUGAGACACGGCCCAGACUCCUACGGGAGGCAGCAGUGGGGAAUUUUCCGCAAUGGGCGAAAGCCUGACGGAGCAAUACCGCGUGAGGGAGGAAGGCUCUUGGGUUGUAAACCUCUUUUCUUAGGGAAGAAAAAAAUGACGGUACCUAAGGAAUCAGCAUCGGCUAACUCCGUGCCAGCAGCCGCGGUAAUACGGAGGAUGCAAGCGUUAUCCGGAAUGAUUGGGCGUAAAGCGUCCGCAGGUGGCAUUUCAAGUCUGCGGUCAAAGGUCGAGGCUCAACCUCGAACAGGCCGUGGGAACUGAAAAGCUAGAGUGUGGUAGGGGCAGAGGGAAUUCCCAGUGUAGCGGUGAAAUGCGUAGAGAUUGGGAAGAACACCGGUGGCGAAAGCGCUCUGCUAGGCCAAGACUGACACUGAGGGACGAAAGCUAGGGGAGCGAAUGGGAUUAGAUACCCCAGUAGUCCUAGCCGUAAACGAUGGAUACUAGGUGUAGCUUGUAUCGACCCAAGCUGUGCCGUAGCUAACGCGUUAAGUAUCCCGCCUGGGGAGU
RNAcentral lists this ribosomal RNA (808 nucleotides) under uncultured cyanobacterium. Its description in RNAcentral is "bacterial SSU rRNA". It matches the Rfam family "Bacterial small subunit ribosomal RNA", at positions 32 to 881 of the family's 1533-position model. The record is from RNAcentral. Lineage: Bacteria; Bacillati; Cyanobacteriota.